UCUUCGGAGAGUUUGAUCCUGGCUCAGGAUGAACGCUGGCGGCGUGCCUAAUACAUGCAAGUCGAGCGAACUGAUUAGAAGCUUGCUUCUAUGACGUUAGCGGCGGACGGGUGAGUAACACGUGGGCAACCUGCCUGUAAGACUGGGAUAACUCCGGGAAACCGGAGCUAAUACCGGAUAA
This 181-nucleotide non-coding RNA is filed under the name Priestia flexa. RNAcentral describes it as "partial 16S ribosomal RNA". It matches the Rfam family "Bacterial small subunit ribosomal RNA", at positions 1 to 176 of the family's 1533-position model. RNAcentral also lists the same sequence under 1 other name. Lineage: Bacteria; Bacillati; Bacillota; Bacilli; Caryophanales; Bacillaceae. The record is from RNAcentral.